UGCGGAGGAUCAUUACUGAAUAAACGUUGAUAGGCUGUUGCUGGCUUAAAUGCAAAUGUGCACGCUUGUCAUCUUUAUCUUCCACCUGUGCACUUUUUGUAGACUCUGGAGAAUUAAUUAUCUGAUUGACAGAUAGAUAGAGGACUGCUGCAUUGUGGCUUUGCCUUGUUAAUCUCUAAGGGCUCUAUGUUAUUCACAUACUCCUAUGGAUGUAAUAGAAUGUUGACCUGUUUAUGAAAUGUAUACAACUUUCAGCAACGGAUCUCUUGGCUCUCGCAUCGAUGAAGAACGCAGCGAAAUGCGAUAAGUAAUGUGAAUUGCAGAAUUCAGUGAAUCAUCGAAUCUUUGAACGCAUCUUGCGCUCCUUGGUAUUCUGAGGAGCAUGCCUGUUUGAGUGUCAUUAAAUUCUCAACUCCUUACAUUUAGAUGUAGGACUUGGAUUUGGGGGUUUGUUGGCUAUUUUAAACAAAGUCAGCUUCCCUGAAAUUGAUUAGCAGUGCCAUGGCUGGAACUGUCUACAGGUGUGAUAAUUUAUCUACACCAUAGAUGUUUGCAUAUACUGCUUUCUAAUCAUUUAUAAUGAUAAUCUUGACCUCAAAUCAGGUAGGACUACCCGCUGAACUUAAGCAUAUCAA
Molecule: ribosomal RNA, 635 nt
Filed under: Pseudosperma keralense
Lineage: Eukaryota; Fungi; Basidiomycota; Agaricomycetes; Agaricales; Inocybaceae
Description: eukaryotic LSU rRNA
Rfam family: 5.8S ribosomal RNA (bases 247-400)
Source: RNAcentral